GGGGCGAUCGACGGCACGGGUUGCCCGGGUAACGCCGGGCCUAAGAGGGAAGGAGGUGCAAGACCUCCGCUGCCCCCGCAACUGUGACCGGCUAGUACUGGCCCAACAUGCCACUGCAUUCGUGCGGGAAGGCGGGUCAGCGCAGCGAGCCGGGAGCCAGGAGACCUGCCUGCGCCAGUCGUUCACG
Molecule: non-coding RNA, 187 nt
Filed under: Paraurantiacibacter namhicola
Lineage: Bacteria; Pseudomonadati; Pseudomonadota; Alphaproteobacteria; Sphingomonadales; Erythrobacteraceae
Source: RNAcentral